RNAcentral lists this long non-coding RNA (466 nucleotides) under Apteryx rowi (Okarito brown kiwi). RNAcentral describes it as "lncRNA (ENSARWG00000018145.1)". Lineage: Eukaryota; Metazoa; Chordata; Aves; Apterygiformes; Apterygidae. The record is from RNAcentral.
CCAUGUUGUGCUACCUGGCAGCAUCCCAGCCUUUGCAUCCACAGCUCCCUUGUGUGGCCCAGAGGCAAAGGGACCCCCCUGAUGGUCUUUCCUCUCCUGUUCCAGCCUUCUCUACUCUUGACCUGAUGCCUCCCACCAGUUUGGGCAGUUCUCCUCUUCCCACUGCUGGCUUGGGCGCUCAUAAGUCAUGUUGCCUGAAUGUUUUGUGUUGGAUGUGGAAGCAGGGACCAGAGUCUGCGACUCCAGGCUCCUUCUGUCUGGUCUGAGUCCAGAGCUCCAAGAACUUUGCCUUCCCUGCUGUGGGGAACGUGUCUGUUCAGGUGGGGGAUCGCCCAUGCUCAUUUGAGGGAGUGCGAGGAGGGCAGGAGUGUGUCAGAGCAGAGGUACAGCCAGGCUGGUUCCUGUCUGAGCCAGAAAUGCUGUGUGAUGUGACCCAAAUUCCUCCAGAGCCAGGCACUGGGACCCA